UGCAAACGGAUCUGCCGGUUCACCAAUCAUUGAUGGCUCGAGAACCGCUAAACCUACAUUACAUGCAAUAGUACCUAGAAUUACUACUGGAAAAAUAUAUAAAAGAUCGUUGGGCCGUGCGGGUUCCCCGUAAUAAUUAUGUCCCAUCCCUUUAGCUAAUUUAGCUCUUAAUACAGGAUCAUUUAAGUCUGGUUUCUUUGUUAUUGGGAUAGGUGAACUCUUUAGGAUCCAUCCCCCAAAGGAACCGGACAUGAGAAUUUAUCAUCAUCCGGCUCGAGCAAGAGUGAAAGAAAUAAGACCGCGGAAGAUCCUUAAUAGAAUUAAGGUUUAUAAUGACUCAAUGACUCUAGGCAAGAAAAGCUUUAUCAGAUUCUCUUUUCCGAAGUUGCACCUACAACUACUCAUUGAAAAUAAUCCUAUUCUUAUGGGUAAAUGCUCAAUAUCCAAGUGGGCUUACAAAUUUGAUCAUGAUCAAUUGCUUUGUGGAUUGUCUCAUGUCUCUUGAUUAGUUGGUAUUUAUCCCCUCAAUAUCGCAAGUUUCUUACCUCCAAACAAAAUAUUUACUUGUUACUAAUAAAAAAUCAAAAAGUUUAGCCUACAUUCUUCCUUAGAUCCCUUCUUUUACUCCGAUAGUAUUGCGGAUCACAAUCGAUGCAAAGAAAAUGAAUGCAUUUCCAUACUAUAAUAAAAAGGUAAGUGUAAUAAAUAGAGAACUGGAUCAUGUCACAUGACUUAUUCCAUUUCUACUCUAUGGGAUCUUACGGAGCCUGUUCAUGGAUGACAUGGUUGCGAUAUGAUCAUAGAAGAUAUUCUCCUCAAGUGAACCAGCCUAUCCUUCCUAGGUAGGGGACUUACAUGUUGAUUGGAUGCGGAGACACCUUUGGUUGUGAAUUCUAAUGUGGCAGAUCCAAUUCUUUAUCUGCAUGGCCAAAUCAAUAAUUCAAGUCACACACUCCCAUAAUCCGCCUUUUUUCUUUCGUAAAAUUAACUUCAACUAUUUGUAUUGUAUAAAAAUACUUUGGAGUUGAAGAGAAGUAUCCAAAUGACAUGUGUUAUUUUACAAUAACCCAUGCUUGUAGCAAUGAAAUACCAAAACCUACCCGAUAUGAUAUAUGAUAAUUAUAAUUCUCUAUGAUAUGCCUUCCCUAUAAAGGACCCGAAAUACCUUGCUUACGUAUCAUUGGAAAGUGCAUUAACAUAAAUUCGGCAGUAAGCAGAGGCAGUACAAAGGUAUGUCAACUAUAAAAACGAGUCAAAGUGGAUUGGCCCACACUAGCACUUCCGCGUAAUAACUCCACUAAAGGCGAUCCUAUUACCGGAAUGGCGUCAGGUACACCUGUCACAAUUUUGACUGCCCAAUAGCCAAUUUGAUCUCAAGGCAAAGAAUAACCAGUUACACCAAAUGAUGCAGUCAAAACAGCCAAAACCACACCUGUGACCCAAGUUAAUUCACGGGGUUUUUAAAAUCCCCCUGUGAGAUACACACGAAAUACAUGCAGGAUUAUCAUUAAAACCAUCAUACUUGCUGACC
RNAcentral lists this long non-coding RNA (1531 nucleotides) under Triticum aestivum (bread wheat). RNAcentral describes it as "long non-coding RNA (TAES_LNC008291)". The record is from RNAcentral. Lineage: Eukaryota; Viridiplantae; Streptophyta; Magnoliopsida; Poales; Poaceae.